This is a non-coding RNA of Podarcis lilfordi (Lilford's wall lizard), 71 nucleotides long. The record is from the annotation of a GenBank genome assembly. NCBI's taxonomy places the organism in Eukaryota, Metazoa, Chordata, Lepidosauria, Squamata, Lacertidae.
GGGCUGUAGUUUAAUGUUAGAGCACAUGCUUUUCAUGCAGGAGGUCCCAGUUUCGAUCCUUGGCAUGUCCA